Long non-coding RNA from Erythranthe guttata (spotted monkey flower), 1164 nucleotides. RefSeq lists it as uncharacterized. The record is from RefSeq and is a predicted model, not a curated record. NCBI's taxonomy places the organism in Eukaryota, Viridiplantae, Streptophyta, Magnoliopsida, Lamiales, Phrymaceae.
UAGGGGGGGUUUCUUAUUACAACCUAGUAUUUAUUUACUUACAUGCAAAGAUGUAUGCAUCUCUACAUCAAUGGUGCAUUAAAUAAAAGACAGCAAAUAAUAAUAAUACAGCUUCCGAAUCUCUCUCUCAUUAACCUAAAAAGGGCAAUCUGAUCUCCCCCUACCCACCAUAAUUGACAUCUCCCCUUUCAUUUUCAACCCAAUUUAUUUUCUCAUAAAAAAAACCCUUCUGCAAAAGCAAUAAAAGACUCCCAAUUUUGUAGAAAAAAACGGUAAUUAUUGCAAAAAUUAUUUGUUUAUUUAUUCCAAGAUUGGAUUUUUAAGAGGAAAGAAGAAAUAAAAAAUCAGUCUUGAUCGAAGAAGAAGGGAGGAAAGUGUUAGGGUUUUGAAUUGAAAUGCAAAAGGGAACAACCAGUUGUUUUUCUUUGUGCACGAUUGAAAAUCCCCAGCCUGCAGAACCUGCAACAGCUUUACACACACUAUAGUUGGAUUUCUAUGGACAAUGGCAUAUGGUUUUAGCAAUCAAGAGAGGCAGCAUUUGCAGAUAUUUAACAUAGCAUUGUACUCGGUAAAUUCUCGGCAAUUUUCAUCUUGUCGCAACUUCGGUUCAUCAUUUGCUUGAAAGAUCGAUUUUGCCAAUUUAAACGAGUUUCGAUCAACAUAGAUCAAAACCAACACCAUCAUCGAAAGGUUUUAUCAAUCUCCAAGAUCAGGGCUUGAACAGCAUUAUGGAUGCAAGAACAUCCAAGAAUCCGACAAUCGUCCAAAGAAAGACGAUACAAGCCACUACUACCGAGAGAAGGAAAUUGGAAUAUACCCGUUCUUUCUCAAAAGGGCACGGAGGGAGAAUAUUCCGUUACUUCACAAUGGAAUCUUUGAUUCUCCUCGUUUGCCUAACGGUGUCUUUGCUGAUACUGCCCCUCGUGCUGCCCCCUUUGCCGCCCCCGCCUUUUCUGCUGCUUCUCCUACCUAUAUGUAUAUUGGGCCUUCUUAUGAUCUUGGCUUUCAUGCCUUCUAAUGUACGGGACGCGACGUAUGCGUACGUGUAAAUGGCGUUUCUUUUUUCUUUUUGUUUCUACUAUGAUGUUCUGGAAGAGAGUAUUGUAACACACUUGUUUUUGUUUCUUAAUCAAAAUUCACCUAACUUUGCAUAUGUUAUGUGUC